RNAcentral lists this long non-coding RNA (4368 nucleotides) under Homo sapiens (human). Its description in RNAcentral is "HSALNT0355553". Lineage: Eukaryota; Metazoa; Chordata; Mammalia; Primates; Hominidae. The record is from RNAcentral.
UCAAACUCCCGACCUCAACUGAUCCACCCAAAGUGCUGGGAUUGCAGGCGUGAGCCAUGGUGCCUGGCCUCCACCACUUUAAAUGAGCUUGUGACUACACGGCCAGCAAGACCGGGCCAAAUUCAUCAUCAGCAGAAACGUGCAUCCUUGAUGGAAGCAGCGGCUGGGGGGCUGGUGUACGUGCUGAACGGACACUUAUGGUGUGUGGAGUGAUUCAUCACUGGAACGAAUUUCAUGUUUCUUCUUCCUUUUUAAAAUCUUGCUUUUAGAAAAUGCAUGAUUCUGUAUGUGGCGUGUACUGAGUUUCCGCUGGACGGUGCUGAACAGGGAAGCUGAUUUAGGUGGGGAAAGACACUAUGAAUGCCGUGAGGACGAUGCUGCUACCUUGGUCCAGGCCCAGCAUCUCUUCAGUGUGCAUACGAGGCAGCAGAGGAGCGAAGGACCCAUGCCUGAUCUGAUGCUUGGCGCAAAAUAACACAAGCAAUAGCUCAAGCGUGCCUGCCUCUGUGUCCAGCGAGCCUUGGAAACAGCUCACACCUCCAAGGAAAAGACAUCCUCAGGCCAUGCCUUCCACACAGUCCUAAGGAGAGGACAGGUAGAAUAAAGGAAGAUCUGCAGUGGUGGUCCACCACCAGCGCGCGACAUCGGAGACUGUCGGGAAAGUCGGGGACUGUCGGGGACGGUUGCGGACAGUCAGACACUGUCGCGGACUGUCAGGGAAGAGACCUGUGGCUCCCGUCUGUUCGAGUUCUCUGGGGUCCACACACCUGAGAGCUGGCUGUGGACAAACAGACAGUGGACAUUUCACAUACAGAUGUCGUGGGGUGGAGUCAGAGAGUGAUACUGUGGACGGGACAGGAUAGAGUCGCUUCUCGGUCAAGUAACAGGUUUCUAAGCCAGGCCACAUGCUGCAUUAGUUACUGCACAAGCAGGGCUAUGGCUAAGCAGGUUGCUCAUAGCCGUGUCAAAAACAGACACACGUGCCCAGAUGCAGCUGACGGGGCAGUGGCACAGAACAAGGCUUCGGAUGAGCCCAUCACCAUGACAACCGAUGUCCCUCGGCUUCCCAAAAAGCUCACGGAAAUGGUGGCACCAGAACAAGGCAGUCAGGGCCUGACGUCCUCUAGCCGGCCCCCAGGGAGAGCAGGGCCACCGGCUCUCUACAGAUGCACGGCCAUCCUUUUCAAAUGCAGGCUGCCAGAAACGAUUCCACUUAUCACAGCUGCGCAGGAGAAGGCACGGCACUUCAGCCAGGAUUGAAAUCUGGAGGAGAACGGUCUAUGAGCAGAUGUCUGGGCUGCUGCCUGCCGGUGCCUUGGGUUCUAGGCGACGUGUAGGAGCCUCGAGUCUGGACUCUGUGUAACAGUAAGAUGCCUCCUACACUCGGCAAAUCAUUUUUGAAUUUUCACGUCGUAGUUGUGAACAGACUGAAUUUCUUUUCUUAGUUCUUAAUGAAGUAUGGAAGAGGAAUAGCCUUUUCACAUUUAGCAAAAGAAUUUGUCAGGCUCUGGAAGGAAGGGAGCUGCCCCGUGGUGGGAACAAUUGCCCCUCUGUGAUCUCCAAACACCUGGGAGCCCCUGCACGAUCUCAGAACACAACACCCGGGAGACCCUCAUUCACCCGCUGCGCAUCCUCUAUCUCUACCAGAUAGAAGCGUCUUCUGAAUGAAGCAUCUUUAACAGAUUUUUUUUGAGACAGAAUCUGACUAUGUUGCCCAGGCUGGUCUCGAAGUCCUGGGCUCCACUGAUUCUCCCAUCCUGGCCUCCCGCAUUGCUGGGACCACAGGCGUGAGCCACUGCGCCUGGCUGAUGAAGCUCUGAGCCUUCUCCUUGGUGACCGAUGCUGGGCAAGACGAGACGGCUCUUCUAAGAAGUCAACUUGGAAACUGGCCUAAAUGGGUUCCAAGGUUUCCCGUAAUGUUUUUAAGAAUUCAGACUGGGGUAGGGAAAGCGAGCUUUUGAGGAGAGAUCAGGCUUUUUGUGGAGCCUUAUUUUGUGCCCGUUUGCUACAUGAAGACGUAGCACGUUCCCUCAUCUCCACGUGCAUCCUCUGAAUGGAAGUUUGGGACCUUGAAUGCCUCCCCAUGCAGACUAGGGCCUGUUUUCCCGACUGCUCCUGGGAGGCAGAGGCCUUCUAGCUGCACCUCACUCUCAAAGUCUGUUCUUGGCAGCAGCUGACAGUGUCCCCUGUUGAAGAGAGGUGGGCAUGUCCCAAAUGCCCCCAGGGUAUAUCACAGCCUCGCCAUUUAAGCUACAGAGUUGAGAGGAAUCCCAAAACGUGUGUAUUUGAGGCUCAUGUCUCUUUUCUCUUCCCGCUCCCAUUAAUGGAUUCACCCAUCUGCAAGUCGGCAGCCGCAUCGCUGGUAUUAUCAAAUAUCCUACCAUGCAAUGCUUGGCGAAUUCGCUCAGGGCACAGGGCGGGAGUUUUAUCUCAAAGACAGCAGCGAGACACACAAAUCCCAAGUGGGAGGCAAGCCCUUCCCAGGUGCCAGGCUCUGGCCUCAGCAGACUCUUCCUGCUAUUCGGGGGCAAUAUUCCCAGGGACCUUUAAAGCUGUGGAAUUGUACCUUGUUUUGUAACUCUGUAAUAUUUUUGCCAGCUCAGCUGCUGAGUUAAAGGUCUCUUAAUACUUUUGUGCUCAAAUAAGAUAAUCUGAGGGUACACAGUGCCAUUAACUGAGUAAAUAUGAAUUCAUGCAGUAAGAAAGGCAAUUUGGGUGUCAAUAGGCUGUCUCUGUUUCCAGCAUCUCAGAACACUGUCACCCACAAAUGGCCUCAACGAAUGUUUGCUUUGGCUUCCAAUAAUGGCUACUCACCUGUCAGGGUCAUUUUAAAUGUUUAUUCGAAGGGGCCUUAGAAAUCAUCCAGCCCAAUUCCCUUCUCUGUGGUUCGAAGCUGGGGCCCCGGGGCAGGGGACGUCUGCUAAGCUGCGUAUCAGGCCCUCAGCAGAGACGUAGGGCCUCAGCUCUGCCAGUUAAUAUUUGUUAAAAAGCUUUUUAAAGACACAAAAUUAUGUAACCUCUCAGUUUAGCAAAAACAGAUGAGACACUAAAUAUAUAUAUACUAUUUUCUUUCUUUCAAGUUAUCAAUCACAUGAAGCUUCAUUUAAUGAAGUACAUUAUUAGAGUAAAAAGAUUUCCAAUCUCCUGGGCCACUAUUCCCCAGCUAAACUCCUAAGGAAGAGGGCUUUCUGCAGGAGGUCACACUCCUGACCGCAGUGUGAGGUUGCUGGCUCUGUCUCCCCACUGGGUUUUCCUGACCUCGGCGUGAGGCUGCUGGCUGCUCUCUCUCGCCUGGGUUUUCCCGGUCACUGGGCUUCUCGACAUUUGGCUCAGGUGAGCCGAGCCCUGUAGCUAUGGAGUCAUUACAGCUUUGUAUUUGCAAAGGAUCCUCCUCCUUCCAUAAACACUUGUCUGAACCCUGUCUCCACCAGCUACUGAACUACUUCCCAGCUGGGACCGUGGGUCACUGGGGUUGCUGGGUUGAGAGUGUCUGACAAUCAAACAGUGGGGAGAGAGGAUCAGGUCACUUCGGAGUUUACAAUGAGGAUACCCUGGAGAGCGCUGACACCAUUAUAAAUCUUCAUACUACAGAAACAGCCUGGGGAGAGCAACUGCCUCCGUGUCCUUCACAAGGCUGUUUACGUCCCGAGGCGGCAGACAGAGGCAGCGUUUUCCACCCUUUCAGAGCACUCCCUGAGGGACGAUGCCCAUGGCUUGAGCGGCUCCCAACAGAAGGCCACGCACCCACAGAAUGUGGUGAAAUGGAUACUGUUCCCUGCAACUCCACAUUCCCCGUGUCAAUCAUAAAAACCAGGGACCGCGAGAACAACAGUGUGGGGGGAAAACUGUGCCAAUCAAACACCAGAGACCAUGAGAACAGCCGUGUGUGGGAGGGGGCGGAAACAAACUGUGCCAAUCAAACACCAGAGACCAUGAGAACAAUGGUGUGGGGGAAAAAAAAAAGAAAUGGAGGAGGAAUAUUUAAGGAAAUCUGCAACAUAAGAAAAAAAUUAGAAGUAGGUCAGAAAUGAAAGAGCAACCAUACGUGUGAACCCAAUGUGCUUAGAAAGUGAGAGCACCGUGGCCGUGUCCUUCAGGAGAAUGAGCUUUUGCUACGGGAGAACAGAGCCAGUAAGUUACGUGCUGACGACCACACUAACACCCCUGAGCCUACAGAGAAUAAAAGCAAGGCAUUUACAGCCAGAAGACCAGAAUCCAAGUUGCCCCCACCCAUUCUAUUUUCUUGGGGUAACCACUUCUUUCCCGCAAGCAUCAGCUUCCUGCAAGCAGCCCUGGGUGAACUCCCGCACCUCCCAGUGCCGUGCAGCCCCAAGGGAACUCCCGCACCUCACAAGCUGCCCAAGUGGU